UAGCUGCUAGUAAAUCCGUGUGUAUGGA
Molecule: small RNA, 28 nt
Filed under: Bombyx mori (domestic silkworm)
Lineage: Eukaryota; Metazoa; Arthropoda; Insecta; Lepidoptera; Bombycidae
Description: ovarian small RNA-22521
Source: RNAcentral